ACGGGAGGCAGCAGUGGGGAAUAUUGCACAAUGGGGGAAGCCCUGAUGCAGCAACGCCGCGUGAGUGAAGAAGUAUUUCGGUAUGUAAAGCUCUAUCAGCAGGGAAGAUAAUGACGGUACCUGACUAAGAAGCUCCGGCUAAAUACGUGCCAGCAGCCGCGGUAAUACGUAUGGUGCAAGCGUUAUCCGGAUUUACUGGGUGUAAAGGGUGCGUAGGUGGCAAGGCAAGUCUGAAGUGAAAGCCUGGGGCUCAACCCCGGAACUGCUUUGGAAACUGUUUAGCUAGAGUACAGGAGAGGAAAGCGGAAUUCCUAGUGUAGCGGUGAAAUGCGUAGAUAUUAGGAGGAACACCAGUGGCGAAGGCGGCUUUCUGGACUGUAACUGACACUGAGGCACGAAAGCGUGGGGAGCAAACAGGAUUAGAUACCCUGGUA
RNAcentral lists this ribosomal RNA (434 nucleotides) under uncultured Coprococcus sp. RNAcentral describes it as "bacterial SSU rRNA". It matches the Rfam family "Bacterial small subunit ribosomal RNA", at positions 341 to 792 of the family's 1533-position model. The record is from RNAcentral. Lineage: Bacteria; Bacillati; Bacillota; Clostridia; Lachnospirales; Lachnospiraceae.